This 254-nucleotide ribosomal RNA is filed under the name uncultured bacterium. Its description in RNAcentral is "partial 16S ribosomal RNA". It matches the Rfam family "Bacterial small subunit ribosomal RNA", at positions 793 to 1055 of the family's 1533-position model. The record is from RNAcentral.
GUCCACGCCGUAAACGAUGGAUACUAGCUGUUGGGCGCAAGUUCAGUGGCUAAGCGAAAGUGAUAAGUAUCCCACCUGGGGAGUACGUUCGCAAGAAUGAAACUCAAAGGAAUUGACGGGGCCCGCACAAGCGGUGGAGCAUGUGGUUUAAUUCGAUGAUACGCGAGGAACCUUACCAAGGCUUAAAUGUAGAUUGACCGUUUUGGAAACAGAACUUUCGCAAGACAAUUUACAAGGUGCUGCAUGGUUGUCGU